UUUCCUCUCACACACAGCUCCUACUACCUCGACUGUGACCCCUCCUCCUACUGUCCCCAUGGUGACCCCUGGAUUUAAGAAUGCAUCCACACCCCCAGGUCCUCCCACCACAACAACACCAACUGUCUCUCCAUCAUCCCCAUCCACGGAGAUAUCACUCACCACUAAGGCACCAGGAAAAGUUAUUGUACUGUACUCUAGCGUGGUGCUAGCUGUCACAGUGAUUGUCCUAGGAGCGGCCCUAGUUUACUACAGGAAGUGGAGAGGAAGAAACAGGAAGUCCCCAGAGUCAUCUGGCCCAGAGCUUCACCUAGACAACAUCACAGCAGGACAAGUUGAAGGUGCGUAUCAGAAAUUGAGAGUGGAAGAGAGAAACACAGACUCUCUCAACCCCAUCUACUCUGUAAUCAACCACCCCUCUGAUUCUACUGGUCCCCUCUCACCCUGCUAGUGUUACUGUUCUAUUCUGAUCCAACAUGAUUCUUGUCUACUGUCCUCAAACUCAUCCAAAAAGCCAAGCUAACUUGCACGUAAUCUACAAGGAGUCCGCCCGUGAUGCCUGCCUCAACUUUGAACAGAGGUUUUGAACAUUACA
Osmerus eperlanus (European smelt) is the source of this 595-nucleotide long non-coding RNA. RefSeq lists it as uncharacterized. NCBI's taxonomy places the organism in Eukaryota, Metazoa, Chordata, Actinopteri, Osmeriformes, Osmeridae. The transcript is spliced from 3 exons. The record is from RefSeq and is a predicted model, not a curated record.